RNAcentral lists this long non-coding RNA (783 nucleotides) under Citrus x clementina. RNAcentral describes it as "Citrus clementina (C. clementina) long non-coding RNA (CCLE_LNC004804)". Lineage: Eukaryota; Viridiplantae; Streptophyta; Magnoliopsida; Sapindales; Rutaceae. The record is from RNAcentral.
ACGCGAGACUUUGCGAGGCGCCUCCGUGGGACAAAACUAGGCCACAGGCACAGCCGCACCCAAAAAUAACCGCCCGAAGGCCGGGGCGCCAAGUUCGUCCAGCGGAAAAAUGCCACAAAAACGGGUGGGCUAUAGCCUUGGGGGGUGGGGCUGGCCAACAUCGUCCGCCGGACUCGGAAUGGCACGAGACUUUGCAGGCGCCUCCGUGUGCCAAAAAUAGGCCGCGGGCACAGCCGCGUCCAAAAAUAACCGCCCCAAGGCCGGGACGCCAAGUUCGUCCAGCGGAAAAAGGCCACCAAAACGGGUGGGCUAUAGCCUUGGGGGGUGGGGCUGGCCAAUUUCGUCCGCCGGACUCGGAAUGGCGCGAGAGUUUGCGAGGCACCUCCGUGUGCCAAAAAUAGGCCGUGGGCACAGCCGCGCCCAAAAAUAACCGCCCGAAGGCCGGGGCGCCAAGUUCGUCCUGCGGAAAAAGCCCACAAAAUCGGGUGGGCUAUUGCCUUGGGGUGUGGGGCUGGCCAACUUCGUCCGCCGGACUCGGAAUGGCGCGAGACUUUACGAGGCGCCUCCGUGAGCCAAAAAUAGGCCACAGGCACAGCCGCACCCAAAAAUUGCUGCCCGAAGGCCGGGGCGCCAAGUUCGUCCAGCGGAAAAAUGCCACAAAAACGGGUGGGCUAUAGCCUUGGGGGGUGGGGCUGGCCAACUUCGUCCGCCUGACUCGGAAUGGCGCGAGACUUUGCAAGGCGCCUCCGUGUGCCAAAAAUAGGCCGCGGGCACAGCCGCGCC